GCAGUUGGCCGGUCUGUCGCGUGCGCGUUUCGUGCAGGAGGAAAGUCCGGGCAACACAGAGCAUCCUACUUCCUAACAGAAAGCUGUCCGCGAGGGUAGAGUAACGUAGAAGAAAAUAACCGCCGCUCCUUUCGGGGAGAGGUAAGGGUGAGAAGGUAGGGUAAGAGCCUACCAGUCGUAUGGCGACAUACGGGCUGUACGUCUUAGGAGUUGUAAGGUCAUGUAAACCGGCGUUAUGAGAGCCUGCUCGCUCCAUGUCGGAGGGUAGACCGCUAAAGUGUCGUGGUGACACGCCACUCAGAUAAAUGACAAGGCACCUUAUAUCUAUAAGGUACAGAACUCGGCUUACAGGCUGACUGCUUUU
RNAcentral lists this RNase P RNA (364 nucleotides) under Bacteroides thetaiotaomicron. RNAcentral's name for it is "RNase P RNA component class A". It matches the Rfam family "Bacterial RNase P class A". From Rfam's summary of the family: Ribonuclease P (RNase P) is a ubiquitous endoribonuclease, found in archaea, bacteria and eukarya as well as chloroplasts and mitochondria. Its best characterised activity is the generation of mature 5'-ends of tRNAs by cleaving the 5'-leader elements of precursor-tRNAs. Lineage: Bacteria; Pseudomonadati; Bacteroidota; Bacteroidia; Bacteroidales; Bacteroidaceae. The record is from RNAcentral.